ACAGCAGUCGCCGCGGUAAUACGGAGGGAGCUAGCGUUGUUCGGAAUUACUGGGCGUAAAGCGCGCGUAGGCGGCUUUGUAAGUCAGAGGUGAAAGCCUGGAGCUCAACUCCAGAACUGCCUUUGAGACUGCAUCGCUCGAAUCCGGGAGAGGUGAGUGGAAUUCCGAGUGUAGAGGUGAAAUUCGUAGAUAUUCGGAAGAACACCAGUGGCGAAGGCGGCUCACUGGACCGGUAUUGACGCUGAGGUGCGAAAGCGUGGGGAGCAAACAGGAUUAGAUACCCCAGUAGUCCCUGUCUCUUAUAA
This 305-nucleotide ribosomal RNA is filed under the name uncultured bacterium. Its description in RNAcentral is "partial 16S ribosomal RNA". It matches the Rfam family "Bacterial small subunit ribosomal RNA", at positions 508 to 809 of the family's 1533-position model. The record is from RNAcentral.